RNAcentral lists this ribosomal RNA (378 nucleotides) under Triticum aestivum (bread wheat). RNAcentral describes it as "partial small subunit ribosomal RNA". Lineage: Eukaryota; Viridiplantae; Streptophyta; Magnoliopsida; Poales; Poaceae. The record is from RNAcentral.
AUGGCCAUGGACCAAGCUCUGCCAGACCUUCUCUCGCGACUUCCGGCCUUCCUCUCGACCAGAUCGACGACGGGACGCCCAGAUCCGAGUCAUCUGACACGACGCCGUUCGUUUCCGGCUUGCCUAGCCGCACUGAGCAUCCGAACCACCUCCCCAGACAGCGCCGCCAUCGUCGCCAAGGCGGCGCCGGUCUCGGCCACGGCGCAGGAGGUGUCGUCAUCACCGUCCUUGUCAUCAUCUGGCUGGGCCGUCGACGAUCUCCUGCAGUUCUCCCUACGGGCACCGUCGACGGCACUGAUAGUCUAUCACAAAUCAAUCAGGGAUAAGAAAAGCGAGGUGCAACUCAAGCGAAUAAACAGUAGAAGAAUGAAGAAGUAA